Molecule: transfer RNA, 59 nt
Filed under: Rousettus leschenaultii (Leschenault's rousette)
Lineage: Eukaryota; Metazoa; Chordata; Mammalia; Chiroptera; Pteropodidae
Description: tRNA-Ser
Source: RNAcentral
GAAAAAGUAUGCAAGAGCUGCUAACUCAUGUACCCGCGUAUAACAACGCGGCUUUUUCC